Long non-coding RNA from Harmonia axyridis, 568 nucleotides. RefSeq lists it as uncharacterized. The transcript has 2 exons. NCBI's taxonomy places the organism in Eukaryota, Metazoa, Arthropoda, Insecta, Coleoptera, Coccinellidae. The record is from RefSeq and is a predicted model, not a curated record.
AUACGUGCUCCAAACAAUUUUGACAACACGGAAUAAGAUGCAUUCUAUGCAUCUUAACACGGAAUAAAUUUUAACGUGCAUCCUCUGUCAGAAAUUUAAAAGUUGUCGGUAAUUUUUAUUCAUAAUUAAUUAAUUUUCGAUUCGUCUGUGGAGAAGAGAAAGUAGCAAAAAUGUAAUUAUCUCCAAGAGGUAUAAACAAAUCAAAAGUCUGGCAAGAAAACUAUGAAUGAGAUUCACAGGAAAAAAUCUCUGAAAUUAUAGAAUAUGCUCUAAACAUUUCACUUCGUAGUCAUAUAUUGAUACAAUAAAGCUUAGAUGCUGAAGUUUAAUCAGCCACAAAUACUAAAAAGAAAGUGGUACAAUUUUCCACUGGAAAUUUUCCCAUGAGUCACCCAGGUAAAGGAAGUUGGUUAAGAUAAUCCAUCACAAAGAAGUCAAUUAUGGGAAACCAAAAAGCAGUAUAGGAAAAAGUCAAAACUUUGAGGAGCAUUUUAGAGCUGUCUGGUACCACAAGAGUUCAAGUUUUGCUUACAAUUAUUAUUAUUAUUAUUAAACUAUAUAAAUCUCA